This 929-nucleotide ribosomal RNA is filed under the name Weissella viridescens. Its description in RNAcentral is "bacterial SSU rRNA". It matches the Rfam family "Bacterial small subunit ribosomal RNA", at positions 51 to 935 of the family's 1533-position model. The record is from RNAcentral. Lineage: Bacteria; Bacillati; Bacillota; Bacilli; Lactobacillales; Lactobacillaceae.
AUAAUGCAGUCGAACGCUUUGUGGUCCAACUGAUUUGAAGAGCUUGCUCAGAUAUGACGAUGGACAUUGCAAAGAGUGGCGAACGGGUGAGUAACACGUGGGAAACCUACCUCUUAGCAGGGGAUAACACUUGGAAACAAGUGCUAAUACCGUAUAACACUAAUAACCGCAUGGUUAUUAGUUAAAAGAUGGUCUUGCUAUCACUAAGAGAUGGUCCCGCGGUGUAUUAGCUAGUUGGUAAGGUAAUGGCUUACCAAGGCAAUGAUACAUAGCCGAGUUGAGAGACUGAUCGGCCACAAUGGGACUGAGACACGGCCCAUACUCCUACGGGAGGCAGCAGUAGGGAAUCUUCCACAAUGGACGAAAGUCUGAUGGAGCAACGCCGCGUGUGUGAUGAAGGGUUUCGGCUCGUAAAACACUGUUGUAAGAGAAGAAUGACAUUGAGAGUAACUGUUCAGUGUGUGACGGUAUCUUACCAGAAAGGAACGGCUAAAUACGUGCCAGCAGCCGCGGUAAUACGUAUGUUCCAAGCGUUAUCCGGAUUUAUUGGGCGUAAAGCGAGCGCAGACGGUUAUUUAAGUCCGAAGUGAAAGCCCACAGCUUAACUGUGGAAGUGCUUUGGAAACUGGAUAACUUGAGUGCAGUAGAGGAGAGUGGAACUCCAUGUGUAGCGGUGAAAUGCGUAGAUAUAUGGAAGAACACCAGUGGCGAAGGCGGCUCUCUGGACUGUAACUGACGUUGAGGCUCGAAAGUGUGGGUAGCAAACAGGAUUAGAUACCCUGGUAGUCCACACCGUAAACGAUGAGUGCUAGAUGUUUGAGGGUUUCCGCCCUUAAGUGUCGCAGCUAACGCAUUAAGCACUCCGCCUGGGGAGUACGACCGCAAGGUUGAAACUCAAAGGAAUUGACGGGGACCCGCACAAGCGGUGG